Molecule: ribosomal RNA, 828 nt
Filed under: Triticum aestivum (bread wheat)
Lineage: Eukaryota; Viridiplantae; Streptophyta; Magnoliopsida; Poales; Poaceae
Description: partial small subunit ribosomal RNA
Source: RNAcentral
AUGGAGUUCUCGCCAACCGCACCGGCCGGUGGCGAGGAAUCCGAGAGGGUUUGCGCGUCGUCGUCGGUGGUGGAGAAAGAGCACAUGUUCGAGAAGGUAGUGACCCCGAGCGACGUUGGGAAGCUGAACCGCCUGGUCAUCCCCAAGCAGCACGCCGAGCGCUACUUCCCUCUCGAUGGUGCUGCCGCAGCGCUGGCGACGGAGGCUAACGGCGGCAAGGGGAUGGUCCUCAGCUUCGAGGACCGCGCGGGAAAGGCGUGGCGGUUCCGGUACUCGUACUGGAACAGCAGCCAGAGCUACGUCAUGACCAAGGGCUGGAGCCGCUUCGUGAAGGAGAAGCGCCUCGGCGCCGGCGACACCGUCCUGUUCGGCCGCGGGGUCGGCGACGGCGCUGCGCGCGGCCGCCUCUUCAUCGACUUCCGCCGCCGACGCCCGGCCGAAGCUUACAGCGCCACCGCGACAUCGUCUUUGUCACAUCGCCUGCCGCUCCUCCCGUCUGUGCCGUUCUGCCCGUGGCGGCGGGACUUCGGCACCACCUACGGGUCCAACCGUCAUGUGCUAUUCCUGCGGCAGCAGGUGCCAGCGGCUGUGGUGCUAAAGUCCGUGCCGGUGCACGCCGCUGCCUCCGUACUGGAGCCGCCGACGAGGCCUAUGCCUAAGCGAGUCCGGCUGUUCGGCGUGAACCUCGAUAGCCCGCCCACGGAAGACGGCGGCGCCUGCGGAGUCACGCAGAUGGUGACCUCGACGCUCCUGCUGCCCUUGCCGUCGUCGUCAACGUCGUCGACGGCGGGUAAGGAGAGGCAGUGCUCCCUGGAUCUUGGAUUGUGA